RNAcentral lists this ribosomal RNA (475 nucleotides) under uncultured bacterium. RNAcentral describes it as "SSU rRNA". It matches the Rfam family "Bacterial small subunit ribosomal RNA", at positions 26 to 518 of the family's 1533-position model. The record is from RNAcentral.
AGGACGAACGCUGGCGGCGUGCUUCACACAUGCAAGUCGAGCGGAAAGGCCCUUCGGGGUACUCGAGCGGCGAACGGGUGAGUAACACGUGAGUAACCUGCCCCUAACACCGGGAUAGCUCCGGGAAACUGGAAUUAAUACCGGAUAUGACCACGGUCGGAAUCGGCCACGGUGGAAAGGACUCCGGUUAGGGAUGGACUCGCGGCCUAUCAGCUAGUUGGUAGGGUAAUGGCCUACCAAGGCGACGACGGGUAGCCGGCCUGAGAGGGCGACCGGGCCACGACUGGGACUGAGACACGGCCCAGACUCCUACGGGAGGCAGCAGUGGGGAAUAUUGCGCAAUGGGCGAAAGCCUGACGCAGCGACGCCGCGUGGGGGAUGAAGGCCUUCGGGUUGUAAACCCCUUUCAGCAGGGACGAAGCGCAAGUGACGGUACUGCAGAAGAAGCGCCGGCUAACUACGUGCCAGCAGCCGC